RNAcentral lists this transfer RNA (73 nucleotides) under Johnevansia muelleri (SeqCode). RNAcentral's name for it is "Candidatus Johnevansia muelleri tRNA-Ala (TGC) (tRNA-Ala-TGC-1-1)". It matches the Rfam family "tRNA". From Rfam's summary of the family: Transfer RNA (tRNA) molecules are approximately 80 nucleotides in length. Lineage: Bacteria; Pseudomonadati; Pseudomonadota; Gammaproteobacteria; Johnevansiales (SeqCode); Johnevansiaceae (SeqCode). The record is from Rfam by way of RNAcentral.
GGGGUCAUAGCUCAGCUGGUAGAGCACCUGCUUUGCACGCAGGUGGUCAGGAGUUCAAUUCUCCUUGGCUCCA